GAUGAAGAACGUAGCGAAAUGCGAUAAGUAAUGUGAAUUGCAGAAUUCAGUGAAUCAUCGAAUCUUUGAACGCACAUUGUGCCCUCUGGUAUUCCGGGGGGCAUGCCUGUUCGAGCGUCAUUAUAACCACUCAAGCUCUCGCUUGGUAUUGGGGUUCGCGGUUCCGCGGCCCCUAAAAUCAGUGGCGGUGCCUGUCGGCUCUACGCGUAGUAAUACUCCUCGCGAUUGAGUCCGGUAGGUCUACUUGCCAGCAACCCCCAAUUUUUACAGGUUGACCUCGGAUCAGGUAGGGAUACCCGCUGAACUUAAGCAUAUCAAUAAGCGGAGGA
RNAcentral lists this unclassified non-coding RNA (329 nucleotides) under soil metagenome. RNAcentral's name for it is "partial contains 5.8S ribosomal RNA, internal transcribed spacer 2, and large subunit ribosomal RNA". The stretch from base 1 to 120 matches the Rfam family "5.8S ribosomal RNA", at positions 35 to 154 of the family's 154-position model. The record is from RNAcentral.